This 440-nucleotide ribosomal RNA is filed under the name uncultured bacterium. Its description in RNAcentral is "bacterial SSU rRNA". It matches the Rfam family "Bacterial small subunit ribosomal RNA", at positions 338 to 795 of the family's 1533-position model. The record is from RNAcentral.
CCUACGGGUGGCUGCAGUGGGGAAUAUUGCACAAUGGGGGAAACCCUGAUGCAGCGACGCCGCGUGAAGGAAGAAGUAUUUCGGUAUGUAAACUUCUAUCAGCAGGGAAGAAGAUGACGGUACCUGACUAAGAAGCCCCGGCUAACUACGUGCCAGCAGCCGCGGUAAUACGUAGGGGGCAAGCGUUAUCCGGAUUUACUGGGUGUAAAGGGAGCGUAGACGGAGCGGCAAGUCUGGAGUGAAAACCCAGGGCUUAACCCUGGGACUGCUUUGGAAACUGUCGUUCUUGAGUGCCGGAGGGGUAAGCGGAAUUCCUAGUGUAGCGGUGAAAUGCGUAGAUAUUAGGAGGAACACCAGUGGCGAAGGCGGCUUACUGGACGGCAACUGACGUUGAGCCUCGAAAGCGUGGGGAGCAAACAGGAUUAGAUACCCGGGUAGUC